This 365-nucleotide long non-coding RNA is filed under the name Brassica napus (rape). RNAcentral's name for it is "long non-coding RNA (BNAP_LNC010018)". The record is from RNAcentral. Lineage: Eukaryota; Viridiplantae; Streptophyta; Magnoliopsida; Brassicales; Brassicaceae.
UUUGAGGUUUGUAAACAAUAUGAGAAAGCCUUAGACUUAGGGUUUCUAUUCAAGUAAUCAGGAUUAUAAUAGUAUAUAAGCAAGGGUUGUAUAUUGGAUAUUCUAGAACUCAAACUAAAUAAUAUUCUAUCAAUUUCCGUUUGUUUAGAAUAUAUAUUGUCUGGAUCUCAGAUCCAAAUUGUUGUUUGUUGAUCUGGAGAAAGUGUCGAUCGAUACUAUCGAUGGAUAGUCGAUCGAUACACCUUUCAAAACGUCGAUCGAUACACCUAUAGGGUUGUCGAUCGAUGUUCCUUCCGGCAAGCUUUACCGAGCAUGUUUAAAUUAUGUUCACUAGGUUUCGUAGAUCAAAUUUCGUUUGUUUCUAG